This 657-nucleotide ribosomal RNA is filed under the name uncultured Burkholderia sp. Its description in RNAcentral is "bacterial SSU rRNA". It matches the Rfam family "Bacterial small subunit ribosomal RNA", at positions 67 to 719 of the family's 1533-position model. The record is from RNAcentral. Lineage: Bacteria; Pseudomonadati; Pseudomonadota; Betaproteobacteria; Burkholderiales; Burkholderiaceae.
CGGCAGCACGGGAGCAAUCCUGGUGGCGAGUGGCGAACGGGUGAGUAAUACAUCGGAACGUGUCCUGUAGUGGGGGAUAGCCCGGCGAAAGCCGGAUUAAUACCGCAUACGCUCUACGGAGGAAAGGGGGGGAUCUCAGGACCUCUCGUUAUAGGGGCGGCCGAUGGCAGAUUAGCUAGUUGGUGGGGUAAAGGCCUACCAAGGCGACGAUCUGUAGCUGGUCUGAGAGGACGACCAGCCACACUGGGACUGAGACACGGCCCAGACUCCUACGGGAGGCAGCAGUGGGGAAUUUUGGACAAUGGGCGCAAGCCUGAUCCAGCAAUGCCGCGUGUGUGAAGAAGGCCUUCGGGUUGUAAAGCACUUUUGUCCGGAAAGAAAUCCUUUGAGCUAAUACCUCGGGGGGAUGACGGUACCGGAAGAAUAAGCACCGGCUAACUACGUGCCAGCAGCCGCGGUAAUACGUAGGGUGCAAGCGUUAAUCGGAAUUACUGGGCGUAAAGCGUGCGCAGGCGGUUCGCUAAGACAGAUGUGAAAUCCCCGGGCUUAACCUGGGAACUGCAUUUGUGACUGGCGGGCUAGAGUAUGGCAGAGGGGGGUAGAAUUCCACGUGUAGCAGUGAAAUGCGUAGAGAUGUGGAGGAAUACCGAUGGCGAA